RNAcentral lists this ribosomal RNA (1102 nucleotides) under uncultured bacterium. Its description in RNAcentral is "bacterial SSU rRNA". It matches the Rfam family "Bacterial small subunit ribosomal RNA", at positions 8 to 1105 of the family's 1533-position model. The record is from RNAcentral.
AGAGUUUGAUCCUGGCUCAGGACGAACGCUGGCGGCGUGCCUAACACAUGCAAGUCGAACGAAGCUUGACGAAUGAUUUCUUCGGAAUGAAAUCUGAUAUGACUGAGUGGCGGACGGGUGAGUAACGCGUGAGCAACCUGCCCUUCGGAGGGGGAUAGUGUCUGGAAACGGACAGUAAUACCGCAUAACGUAUUUUUACCGCAUGAUAGAAAUACCAAAACUGAGGUGCCGAAGGAUGGGCUCGCGUUGGAUUAGAUAGUUGGUGGGGUAACGGCCUACCAAGUCGACGAUCCAUAGCCGGACUGAGAGGUUGAACGGCCACAUUGGGACUGAGACACGGCCCAGACUCCUACGGGAGGCAGCAGUGGGGAAUAUUGCACAAUGGGGGAAACCCUGAUGCAGCAACGCCGCGUGAAGGAAGACGGUUUUCGGAUUGUAAACUUCUGUUCUUAGUGAAGAAUAAUGACGGUAGCUAAGGAGCAAGCCACGGCUAACUACGUGCCAGCAGCCGCGGUAAUACGUAGGUGGCAAGCGUUGUCCGGAAUUACUGGGUGUAAAGGGAGCGCAGGCGGGAAGCCAAGUCAGCUGUGAAAACUACGGGCUUAACUUGUAGACUGCAGUUGAAACUGGUUUUCUUGAGUGAAGUAGAGGUUGGCGGAAUUCCGAGUGUAGCGGUGAAAUGCGUAGAUAUUCGGAGGAACACCGGUGGCGAAGGCGGCCAACUGGGCUUUAACUGACGCUGAGGCUCGAAAGUGUGGGGAGCAAACAGGAUUAGAUACCCUGGUAGUCCACACUGUAAACGAUGAUAACUAGGUGUGGGGGGUCUGACCCCUUCCGUGCCGCAACUAACGCAAUAAGUUAUCCACCUGGGGAGUACGACCGCAAGGUUGAAACUCAAAGGAAUUGACGGGGACCCGCACAAGCAGUGGAUUAUGUGGUUUAAUUCGAAGCAACGCGAAGAGCCUUACCAGCACUUGACAUCCAACUAACGAAAUAGAGAUAUAUAAGGUGCCCUUCGGGGAAAGUUGAGACAGGUGGUGCAUGGUUGUCGUCAGCUCGUGUCGUGAGAUGUUGGGUUAAGUCCCGCAACGAGCGCAACCCU